AAAUGUUAUUAGAUCUGAAACGGACAGCACUAACGGUCUAAACCUAGCCAGAAGACAGAUUGGGACUUGAACUCACGUGCUGGGACUCGAACCCAAUCUAAAGCCAGAUGGGACUUAAAGCCACAGUUUUACAUUAGAAUUUCUCACCCUGUGUCUGGACUCACUGAGGUUCAGGUUCUUUAUGCCUCCACGCAGAAGAAAUUCAGCGAGAAACAAAGUGACGGGCAAGAAACAGAUUUAUGAGGAUAGGAUGCUUGUGAGAGAUGCAAGCAGGCAGGCAAGGAAGUUCUGACCGAGGAUUGGUGGGCCACAGUUUUAUCAUCCAAGGGGCGUGGGAGUUGGAAAAGCCCACCUCUUACCUUUCCUGAAGUAGUAGCUCCUCCUUAGUAUCUGGUAAGGUGUGUAUUCAAAUCAGCUGAAGGUCUUCAAACUCUUGCCCUUGGGCUGAAUUUGAUUGCAGGCCUCGUCCCAUCCCCCACCCAAUGACCUGCGGCAAUUCUGGCACCUCCACUUAGUUAAGCAAGCCUGCCUUAGUCUGGUGGCUUUCUUGGAACUUACAGUGGUUUCCCAGCAUCCCCCAGGUUCCCCUCUUUUUCUAUGAUCCCCUAUUGGGAUUUCUACCACCACCUGUGCCUACUCCAUCCCUAUCAGAUCCAUUUCUGCAAGUCAGAUUAUAAGAAUGUGCCAUAUCUGACAGCUUGUGACAGUUUCUAUCAGGUCAGAAAAAUAACUACAUCGUGUACAUUCGUUUCCUGUGGGAGAAAAAGAGCAAGGUUGGGCGACCUUCCCUGGCUCUCCCCCACUCCUCUCCCCUACAGCUCUCAGGGGUCCUGCUCCCCUCCCCCGCUUUCUGAAGGUGGGUGCUCCUCUGCUUGGUCAGCUCCGGCUGCUCUAACAAAGCAGGUAGGCUGA
This 912-nucleotide long non-coding RNA is filed under the name Sus scrofa (pig). RNAcentral describes it as "lncRNA (ENSSSCG00050054887.1)". Lineage: Eukaryota; Metazoa; Chordata; Mammalia; Artiodactyla; Suidae. The record is from RNAcentral.